RNAcentral lists this ribosomal RNA (101 nucleotides) under uncultured bacterium. RNAcentral's name for it is "partial 16S ribosomal RNA". The record is from RNAcentral.
CCUUCGGGUUGUAAACCGCUUUUGGCAGGAACGAAACAGUACGAGCUAAUACUUCGUACGAAUGACGGUACCUGCAGAAUAAGCACCGGCUAACUACGUGC